GCACAGAGAGGGGAGGACCAUUGGAAGAAGGUCUUUGCAAGAUUUGGCCUCUACCCCCAACGCAGACCCGGGCACACAGACAGGAAUAUUUGAUGAAAUGCUUCUCUCGUGAUCUGGGUUUUCCCUAAGAGAAAUGCUAAAGGCGUUCUUCAGGCUGCCCUAAAUGGUAACUGGAAUCUACACAAAGAAAUAAAGCAUAUGCUAAAGGUAACCAUGUAAGUAAAUAGAAAAGACAGUAUCACUGUAUUUUGUGACUCUUUUUUUAAUAUAGGAUCUAAAAGAUGGCUGCAUAAAUCAAUACCAGUCAGUAUUCAUGGGCACACAAAUUUGUGGCAAUAACGACAUAAGGGAGGUGGAGCUAUAUAGGGGCAAAGAUUUUUGUAUACUGUUGAGAUUGUAUUAAUCCAAAAUAUACUGUUAUAAAUUAACAUGUUAGUUGUAAUCCCCAGAGCAACCACUAAGAAAAUAACUAAAAAAUAUACAGAAAAGGAAAUGAGAAGGAAGUCAAAAUGGUAUACUACCAAAAAAAAAAAAAUCAUCGAAACACAGAAAAAGGCAGUAAAGAAUGGUGGGGGAAAGAUAUGACAUUAGAAAACAAAUAGCAAAAUGUUAGAAGUCCUUCCUUAUUAGUAAUUAUAUUAAAUGCAAAUAAAUUAAACUCCAAUUAACAGGCAAAGAUUGGCAGAAUGGAUACUUUUUUCAAAAACAUGAUCCAAAUAUAUGCUGUCUACAAGAUAGUUCAUUUUAGAUUCAAAGACAUGAAUUAGUUGCAAAUAAAAAGAUAGAAAAGGCUAUUCUGUGCUAACAGUAGCUAAUUGAGACCUAGAGUGGGUCUCCAAAUAUCAGACAAAAAUAAGACAAAAAUUGUUAAGAUUAAAAAAGAGGAUAUUAUGUAAUGUUUUAAAAGGGUCAAUCCAGGAGUUCCCAUUGUGGCUCAGCAGUAAUGAACCCGACUAGUAUCCAUGAGGAUGUGGGUUCAAUCCCUGGCCUUACUUAGUGGAUUAAGGAUCUGGUGUUACCAUGAACUGUGGUGUAGGUCACAGAUGCAGCUCAGAUCCCACAUUGCUGUGGCUGUGGUAUAGGCCAGCAGCUGCAGCUCCGAUUAGACUCCUAGCCUGGGAACUUCUAUAUGCCACAGGUGCGGCCCUAAAAAGAAAAAAAAAGGGUCAAUCCACAUAGAAAACAACUUAUGGUUACCAAAGAGGAAAGGCAGUGGUGAGGAAGGAUAAAUUAGGAGUAUGGGAUUAACAGAUACUCACUACCAUACAUAAAAUAAACAACAAUGAUUUACUGUAUAACACAGGGAACUAUAUCCAAUAUCUUAUAAUAACCUAAAAUGGAAAAGAAUAUGAAAAAAAAAACUGAAUCGCUUUGCUGUAUACUUGAAAUUAAUAUAACAGUUUAAAUCAACUACAAUAAAUGUUUAAAUUUUUGAAGGAUUAAUCCAUCAAGAUAUUUCAAUUACAAAAAUAUGUUUAACUUAUAUAUGCACCUAACAACAGACACCCAAAAUACAUGCCAAAAGUAGACAGAAUUGAGUGGAUAUAGAGAUAGUCCUACAGUAAUAUUUGAAGACGUCAACACUCCAUUUUCAAUAAUUGAUAGAAAGACUUGAUAAAAGAUCAAGAAGGAAAUACAAGACUUGAGCAACACUACAAACCAAAUAGACCUAACAAACAUCAUUAGAACAGUCAACUCCAAAAUAGCAUACUACAUAUUCUUCUCAAAUACACAUAAAAGUUUUACAGGAUAAACUAUUUGUUCAGCCAGAAAACAAUUCUCAAUAAAUUUACAAAGAUUGAAAUCAUACUAAGUAUGUCCUCUGACCACAAUGGAAUGAAAUUGGAAAUCAGAAAUAGAAGGAAAUUUGCAAAAUAUACAAAUAUGUGAAAAUUAAAUAACACUACCAAAUAACCAUUGGGUCAAAGAAAAAAAUCAGAAGGGAAAUUAGAAAAUAUGUCGCAAUUAAUGAGAGCAAAAAUACAUUACCAAAACUAAUAGGAUUCAGUGAAAACAGUGGUCAGGGAAAUUUAUAGUUAAAAAUGCCUACAUUUAAAAAAAGAAACAAAACAAAUUAAUAACCUAACUAGUGCAUCUUAAGGAAUUAGAAAAAGGAGAGAAAAUUAAGGCAAGCAGAAAAAAA
This 2143-nucleotide long non-coding RNA is filed under the name Sus scrofa (pig). Its description in RNAcentral is "lncRNA (ENSSSCG00040066431.1)". The record is from RNAcentral. Lineage: Eukaryota; Metazoa; Chordata; Mammalia; Artiodactyla; Suidae.